Molecule: long non-coding RNA, 768 nt
Filed under: Ananas comosus (pineapple)
Lineage: Eukaryota; Viridiplantae; Streptophyta; Magnoliopsida; Poales; Bromeliaceae
Description: long non-coding RNA (ACOM_LNC016256)
Source: RNAcentral
UUUUUAAAUUUUUUUUUAAUUUUUUUUUAUUUUUACUCCUGUGGGAGGGAAAAUUCUAGAAUACACCGGGUAUAUUAGUGACAUGGCGUCACCACUACAACAGAAUUGGGUUAUAGGGACACAUAUUUGAGACACUUUUGAGUGUCCCAUUUAUGCUAAAAUUUUAAAAAACAUCUACUAAUGCCUAAAUAUAAAGUCCAAUCCAACCAAAAAUAAAAGAUUACUCUACUCAACCCACCACACCCAGUCCAUUUGUCCCGAUUACAAAUAGAAAAGAAAAAAAAAAAGAAAAAUCAAUUACCAUCUUUUCUUCUCUCUUCACUCAAUCCACUGAAAUUUUAGACGAAGAGUCUUUCCUGUCGUCCUCCUUCGCUACCGCAGCCAACGAGAUAGAAUUUCAACGGUUGCUAAAUGCUUAAAUAAGUUUUGAUAAAUUAGCAGCACUCUUUUAAAUUAUAGCGACACUCUUUAACUGUCACUAUAUACCUAGCGACCUCACAUAUAGCAACACUUUUUAAAAAUGUCGGUAAUUUUAGCUAGCAGUACUUUUUGGACAUGUACCUAUAUUUAAAAGUGUCGCUAUAGACCAUUUUUGUUGUAGUGCACAAACCAAUCAAAUAAAUUCUUUUAAAGAUAUAUGUCUCAUCAUGAUUAUAAAAAAAUAUUUUUAUUAUACUUUUAUUUGAAAAAAAGAUAUGUGAUUGACUUGUUAUUGAUGACGUGGUGCAAGCGUGACAGUGUAGAACUUCUCUGUGGGAGGGAGGAGGA